This 28-nucleotide non-coding RNA is filed under the name Rattus norvegicus (Norway rat). The record is from RNAcentral. Lineage: Eukaryota; Metazoa; Chordata; Mammalia; Rodentia; Muridae.
UCCUAUCACUGGGAAUGGUGUUUGUGGA